Molecule: ribosomal RNA, 381 nt
Filed under: uncultured Bacteroidota bacterium
Lineage: Bacteria; Pseudomonadati; Bacteroidota
Description: bacterial SSU rRNA
Rfam family: Bacterial small subunit ribosomal RNA
Source: RNAcentral
ACAUAGCGGAACCGCAUGGUUCUGUUAUCAAAGAUUUUAUCGCUGAUAGAUGGGCUCGCGUCCGAUUAGAUAGUUGGUGGGGUAACGGCCUACCAAGUCGACGAUCGGUAGCCGGACUGAGAGGUCGAACGGCCACAUUGGGACUGAGACACGGCCCAGACUCCUACGGGAGGCAGCAGUGGGGGAUAUUGCACAAUGGGGGAAACCCUGAUGCAGCGACGCCGCGUGAGGGAAGACGGUCCUCUGGAUUGUAAACCUCUGUCUUCGGGGACGAAACGAGACGGUACCCGAGGAGGAAGCCACGGCUAACUACGUGCCAGCAGCCGCGGUAAUACGUAGGUGGCAAGCGUUGGUCCGGAAUUACUGGGUGUAAAGGGAGCG